CGUUACCUUUUCGUAUGUUAACUACGAAAUUUGGCCGGCAGCUGUUCGAACGUAUCAUUCAGCUCUACGAAGGCUUUUCUAGUGUACAGUAUUGGUUUCUUCAUGGCAUGGUCGUGAAAAUUAGAUUGCGACUGCGUAAUGUGUGAGGGCUAUUUCGGGAUAAAAGCAGAGCCAUCGAAUCUACUGCACAGCCCCAUAUAUCUUGCUGGCCGGUGACGCUAGUCCUGCCGAAGAAAGACAUGCAAAGAAGACCUCCUCCGUUAUUUGUGAAGCGCCAUCGCACCAAUCUUACUUUUAAAGAAUCUCGUCGGCCCAGAAUUUUGGGUGCGCCGGUGCACAAUGACCUGGGCGCCCGACCGAGUAGGAGCGAUCGUGAAAACAUCCGGGCGUAUUUGGAGCUCAUCAGCCCAGCAGGACAGGAGCCCGAUGAGAAAGUCAGCUCCAGCAUACCACUAAAGCUUGCAUCCACCUCGUCAAGAGAAAUUGGCAUAGCUGUGCCAUGAACGGAAAAAGGAGAAUGCCUACAAGUGGUGCCCAGGCAAUAAAGGUUUCACAUAUUCUCGCUCAAUUCUUCAUUAGUCUUCAUUUCUCACUACAUGUCUUAAUUUCUAUUGCAUUGUACGAGUGUGUCAAGACAUGCAUG
Long non-coding RNA from Dermacentor andersoni, 643 nucleotides. RefSeq lists it as uncharacterized. The record is from RefSeq and is a predicted model, not a curated record. Lineage: Eukaryota; Metazoa; Arthropoda; Arachnida; Ixodida; Ixodidae.